GAGAAGAAAAAUUUACGAUCUUGUUAAAGGUUAGAAAGUUGAAUUCUUGGCUCUAAAGAAACAAAGAAAGCAACACCUCAAUAUCAAAUGGAUAAUUGAGGAUCUUUGAUUCUUUAGCGACUCAACGACAUGUAGCGGACAUGAGCUUGACAUUGAUAGUGCAUAAGGUGAAACGACUUCCACCAACCGUCCAAAGACUCCAUUCCCAUGCAUAUAAAAGAC
This 222-nucleotide long non-coding RNA is filed under the name Medicago truncatula (barrel medic). RNAcentral describes it as "long non-coding RNA (MTRU_LNC006006)". Lineage: Eukaryota; Viridiplantae; Streptophyta; Magnoliopsida; Fabales; Fabaceae. The record is from RNAcentral.